GAAAGAUGCAACUGAUGAUUUUGAUGAUGUUGGUCAGAGCUCAUCUGCAAAAGAGCUGAUGAACAAGUACUGCAUCGGGGAUAUUGAUGUGAAAAGAGCUCCACCCCCUGGAAAGAAGUAAAGUCCUCGAGUUGACCCUCCAAAAGCAAUAAACAAGAACCACGCAAUCUUAGCGAAACUCUUACAAUUCUUGUUACCCCAUCUGAUCCUGGGUGGAGCAUUUUCUUUGCGAUCCACAUUCAAAAAGGAAUAGUUUGUGUGAUAAUUUUUCCUUCGAGGAGGAGCUCUGUAUUUGUUAUAAGUCCUAGCGCACAUUUUCUUGUUUCAACUGUUUUUGCCAUCAGCAAGUCUCUGUAUUUUGUUUCUAAAUUC
This 372-nucleotide unclassified non-coding RNA is filed under the name Hevea brasiliensis (rubber tree). The record is from RNAcentral. Lineage: Eukaryota; Viridiplantae; Streptophyta; Magnoliopsida; Malpighiales; Euphorbiaceae.